GGUGGCUAAGUAGUAGAGCGCUUGCCUUACAUGCAUGAAGCUCUGGGUUCAAUUCCUCAGCACCA
This is a non-coding RNA of Dipodomys ordii (Ord's kangaroo rat), 65 nucleotides long. NCBI's taxonomy places the organism in Eukaryota, Metazoa, Chordata, Mammalia, Rodentia, Heteromyidae. The record is from Rfam.